AAGAAAAAAUGUAGACACAGGUUUUGAUUUAGCUUACAGUAUGAGGCUACUGGGACAGAUAGACUACUGGUGUUACAAACAAAUGGCUAUGUGAGGAAAUUGGAAACUCCCCUGGUGUUUUGGCUGCAGCGCAGCAGAUCUCUUAGGACAGGUUAAAAGCAGCACUAUUAAUCUCAGUUACCUGAAACUGAACGGUCAUAUGGCUUCACCGCAGUCUGACUGCACACUUAUACAAACUUAUACACACGCUAUACAAACUACAAUUGUCUCUAUAUAUUUAUCCAUGCCUCAAAUUUUAGUUACCUAUCUCAGCAACAAGCCUAUAUAUGAUGCUCUAAAAUGCUCUCUAGGUAGACAGCUCACGGUUUUUGAGAGGCAAUCAGUGAAUCUUAUACUCACACAUCUCAGUAUAUACAGAGGUUGACAUUACCUGGUACCUAGGAAAAGUCAAAGUAAUGUGAUCAGAGGGCUGUCGACAAGAUGUAGAUUUUGUCUAACAGACGGCCAGGUCAGCAUGAAAACCACGUGUUUUACAGAUUAGAAACGGGCAUAGUUGAGUCGCUCUCUCGCCUGGCAGUUGCUGUAUCAUUGAUUUAAUGCUGAAUGAACGCUGACUCUUGAGCGAGGCUGCGAACCACGAGCAUGAUAUGAAAUCGCGGUGAUGUGUCUGGUGCUAGUAUUUGGAGGCAGCAUUUAAUUCCGUUUCCAGAGCAGACUAUUUUUAACAUUAACGUUUCUGCUGGAUGCGAUGUCCUAUCUGAACCCCCGGGGAAGAGAGCUCGAGCGUUUUGAUGGACUUUCGCUCAUUUACUGGACACUGAUGGGUCCGUAUGGAGCAGAUCGAGCAGUGCAUUCUAUGGAGUUUACAGACUGUGAGAAUGGAUUAGGAAUCAAAGUGUUCGGUGGUGUUAAAGAACUAUCAGCAGAAGAAUAUGGCGUUUAUGUGAAGAGGAUCUUACCUGGUGGCCUUGCUUCCAGUGAUGGAAACCUGCAGCCUGGAGACCAAAUCUUGGAGGUGAAUGGUGAAAGCUUGAUUGGCGUGACAAGUGAACGAGCGGUGGACAUUCUUAGAGCAGCAUCCUCAACCAAUCAUAUGCGCCUUCUCAUAGCCAGAGAUGAGGAAGCCAGGAGAGAAUUUGCAGAGCUCCUUGAAAAAUACGGCUCAAACGGCAGCACAGGAUCUACCAGGAAUUCACCUAUUCAGCAUAGUAGGUUUCUAUUUUUUAGUCAUUGUCAAGU
This 1239-nucleotide long non-coding RNA is filed under the name Sinocyclocheilus anshuiensis. Its description in RNAcentral is "lncRNA (ENSSANG00000015971.1)". Lineage: Eukaryota; Metazoa; Chordata; Actinopteri; Cypriniformes; Cyprinidae. The record is from RNAcentral.